Molecule: long non-coding RNA, 1566 nt
Organism: Meriones unguiculatus (Mongolian gerbil)
Lineage: Eukaryota; Metazoa; Chordata; Mammalia; Rodentia; Muridae
Exons: 3
Source: RefSeq, a predicted model, not a curated record
GUUGUACCUCCAGCUUCUCCUUAGGCCCUGAGGGUCUCUAAGGAUCUGAAUUACCCGAUGCCUCCCUCCGUAAGGGGCACCUUGCUGUGUUGGGGCCUGUUAUGAAUUAGCUUGUCUACCCCCGGGAGUCGCUGAUGCUCAGGCUUGGAGUCCCCCGGGAUCGUCCUUGCCAUCCAUUGCUCUCCAAGCUUUCUCCAGACGAUGCCUGCAAGUUUGCAUUUCCACGGAGAUGCGCAGCUCGGAUCGGGAUGUCCCUUCUGCUGGCCAGUUCCACGGGACCGCAUCCUCUGAACCCUGCAGCCGGAGAGCCUGCCUUCACAUCCUCAUCCGCAGUCCCCGGAUGGCUUUGUCGUCAGAUCCAACGCUCCACUGCCAGAACUUCUUACUGAAUUGGAACCAAGUCUGAAGGCAUUUUCGUUGCUGACUCUCCUGAGAUAACACUUGGGAAAUCCCUGGUUUACAUCCUAACAUGGCCUAAAUACAGACACAGUGCAAGGAGCACAGCCUCCGUGGAAACUCUCUGUGGGAACGAGCCUUGCACUCGUCGCUAUAAAAGACUUGCCGUGAAAGGUGAAGGAUUGGCUUAGACCAGGGUUUUCUUUUAUUUUUCCAUCUAAACAUUAUUUCCUCUGCAGCCCAGGAUGUAGAGGCAUUUUCAGUACAGUAUACUAUUUAGGUUUAGGCAUUUUUUAAUAUUUUAAGGGGAGAAGAGAAUCUUGUUUUGUUUUUGUUUUUUAAACAAAUCCAUCAAAAUUGUAUGCCACCAUUUUCUUGUGAAAAAAAAAAAAAAAAAGCCAACCUCCUUGGCCCUAGGUGACUCAUGAGUGGCUUUACAGCCCUGAGCACAUGGGGAGAGCCAACUGGACUCAGUAGGUUUGAGGUUUGGCCUUUCCUUUUUAAUAAAGGACAGGAGAUGGGGUGUGGGAGGAGACUGGGGGGUUGAAGGGAGAUUGGGUAGACAGGAAGUACAUUAUAUACCUCUAUGAACACCAUUCCAAGAAUAAGUAACGAUAUAAUAACAAAAAACACCACUAUAGUGCCUUGAAUACACUUUAAAUAGAUAAAACUAGAAUUAAAUGUCACUAGUUAUCCACUGUCUGCCUCACAGAAGAACUCUAUCUCCCGACAGCCCCUACUCCGUAAAACGGAAAACCCCAGGCUGGAAAUGCUAAGCCCUCGUGCAGAAAGGAACCUGGUGACCUAAGAAAUCACCCAGGGCUCCAUUCCACCUUUGUCCUUUUGAUUGUGGAGAUGUGUUUAUUUUAUGUGUCUGAGUGUUUCCCUGCAUCUGUUAAGUGCAUCACACGAUUGCAGUACCUGUGGAGCUCAGAAGGGGGCGUCAGAUCCCUGGGAACUGAAGUUACCGACGGUUGUGAGCGGCGCUAGAAACCGAACCUGGAUCCCCUGCAAAAACAAGCGCUCUGAACCACUGAGCCGUGGCUCCAUCUUUUCUCCGUACCUGAUAGGUACCUCUGAAUUAGAUAAUGUAGGGUGGUUUGUUUCUGUGGUACUGAGGUAUGACUUUUGCCGUUAGCUUCCUGCCCUUGAAAGGAAACAAUGCCACAU